Molecule: long non-coding RNA, 873 nt
Filed under: Ananas comosus (pineapple)
Lineage: Eukaryota; Viridiplantae; Streptophyta; Magnoliopsida; Poales; Bromeliaceae
Description: long non-coding RNA (ACOM_LNC036735)
Source: RNAcentral
UAUAUAUAUAUAUAUAGGCUGGGACUAAUAUACUCUUAGACCUACUUAUACUUAUAAAUUUUUAACCGUUGAUUGAUGGGAUAUGUGGUUAGGAUGAUGGUGGUCCCCACUUAGAAUGAUAGUGGUCCUUUAGGGUUGAGUGGGUAGUUGGUUGAAUAGUAUGAUCUAACGGGUGGAAAUGAUUAAUGAAAUAAAUCUAAGGGCCAAAAAACUUAUGAGUAUAAAAAAGUUAAUGUUCAUAAAAGUAAAGUAGCUGGACUAUAUAUAUAUAUAUAUAUAUAUAUACUAUAUAGCGAGGAGAGAGAGAGAGAGAGGGAGAGGAGAGAGAGUGAGAGAGAGAGUGCGUCUGGGGUGCUUUCGGAAGCACGGAGCGCUCCGUGCUUCCACUUUCUUUUCGAUGUUGGGACUUUCAAAUCGACGAUCGGCUCCGUUAGACUUGAUCUAGAGUAUUUGAAGUAUCUAGAAAAUAAAUUUUGCGAUUUUUCGAUAUCAUUUGCCUAGUGAUUGAAGUGGCUCAAAAUCAACGGCUGAAAAUAAAAAUCUCACAAAAUAUGAUGAUAUGACAUUAAAAUUUUAGAUCAAAGUUAUUGAUCUUGUUUUAUAUGGUAUAAAGAAUUUUCUAUCAAAAUUUCACGUGAUUUGGAUAUUUCUACACCGUUAAACUUGCAACCGGCUCACCACGGCCGUUAAAAUUAUUGAUUUUGAGCCCCUUCGAUCACUAGGCAAAUGAUAUCGAAAAAUCGCAAAAUUUAAUUUCUUGGUACUUUAAAUACUUUAGAUCAACUCUAACGGAGCCGAUCGUCGAUUCGAAAGUCCGAACAUCGAAAAUAAAGUGGAAGCACGGAGGCCUCCGUGCUUACGAAAGCAUACCAG